CGAGUCAAAGCGCAUUCAGCUCCCUGUCUCUGGGUUCCUCAUCGCUCGCUUAGUCUGUCAGCCUUCAGUGUUCCUUUCAGCUCACUGGCACAGUGAGCUAGGGCAAAAUCCCAUUGAGUUCACUGGAACUGUUGUGUGACAGGAGGGUGAGCUUUGGACUGCAGAUUGCCUGGGGUGCUUGUAGGGCAGAAUUCCAGUGGGACAGCAUGUACCUCUUUUCUAAGGACAAGAUCAGGACCUGAGAACCAAACCACGUUGUCAUGUGAAGCUUGGCUGUGAAAAUACCUGUCUGCUGCUGUGCGAAAUUGCCAGCAGUUGGAACACCAACAGAUCAGUCUGUAGGAGCAAUGU
RNAcentral lists this long non-coding RNA (351 nucleotides) under Gallus gallus (chicken). RNAcentral describes it as "lncRNA (ENSGALG00010018614.1)". Lineage: Eukaryota; Metazoa; Chordata; Aves; Galliformes; Phasianidae. The record is from RNAcentral.